GUCCUGUUGGUGGAAUUUGGCAGACACGUAUGUUUUAGAAGCAUAAUAUUAAGGGUUCGAAUCCCUUAUGGGACA
This 75-nucleotide transfer RNA is filed under the name Eubacteriales Family XIII. Incertae Sedis bacterium. Its description in RNAcentral is "tRNA-Leu". It matches the Rfam family "tRNA". Rfam says of the family: Transfer RNA (tRNA) molecules are approximately 80 nucleotides in length. Their secondary structure includes four short double-helical elements and three loops (D, anti-codon, and T loops). Lineage: Bacteria; Bacillati; Bacillota; Clostridia; Peptostreptococcales; Anaerovoracaceae. The record is from RNAcentral.